AAAGCAGUGGUUUGGCAAACACUAUACAGUGCCUUUCUGUUUACAUUGCUAUUAUCACCAGCUACAGGAGUAACCGACAAAAAAUGUAGAGGAAUACAAGAGUCCGCUAGAAAUGUGUCAAUGUGCCCUACCACAAAAGGAGACAUGAUAAAACGAGCAGCCAUUAAGAACUGUAAAGAUUUUUCCAAUUCCUGUGACGAACAGUUAGAAUACCAAUGUGUGCUCAAUGACCGUGGAACAGGCUUUGUUGAAGUCUGUUCGCCAGCGAUCAAGAUAAUCGGCGAAUUCUGUGCAGAAUUCAACGUCGGUUUAGGAGGAAUUCAACCACAAAAACAGAAAAGCUGCUUGGGAACAUGUCCAUUCGCUUAUAAUUCUACGGACA
Molecule: long non-coding RNA, 382 nt
Organism: Saccostrea echinata
Lineage: Eukaryota; Metazoa; Mollusca; Bivalvia; Ostreida; Ostreidae
Exons: 3
Source: RefSeq, a predicted model, not a curated record